CGUCUAUAUACGUAUAGCAUAUCAAUAAGCGGAGGAAAAGAAACUAACAAGGAUUCCCCUAGUAACGGCGAGUGAAGCGGGAAGAGCUCUAAUUUGAAAUCUUCAAGGUUUUACCUUGACGAAUUGUAGUUUAAAGAAGUGUUUUCUGUUGAAGUUUUGGUAAAAGUUCUUUGGAAUAGGACAUCAUAGAGGGUGAGAAUCCCGUAUUUGACCAUUAUUUUCAGCUGUGUGAUACACUUUCAAAGAGUCGGAUUGUUUGGGAAUGCAGUCCAAAAUGGGUGGUAAAUUUCAUCUAAAGCUAAAUAUUGGCGAGAGACCGAUAGCGAACAAGUACCGUGAGGGAAAGAUGAAAAGAACUUUGAAAAGAGAGUUAAACAGUACGUGAAAUUGUCAAAAGGGAAGCGUUUGACACCAGUGUUGUUUUUCCGAAAAUCAAUUACGAAUGUUUUAUUUUUGAGGAGUUAUGACUUCAUCGGCUUGCUUCCUUUCUUUACUGAAACUUUCUUAAUGCACUUUUCGGUUAACAAGUCAACAUCAAUUUCUUUUGUUGUAAAAGGGUAUGAGGAAGGUGGCUUUCUUUUCGGAGAAAGUGUUUAUAGCCUUGUGCCUCUGCAAUCGGAGAGAUUGAGGUCUGCAGCGUAGAUCCUUCGGGGUUAGAUACAGUUUGUGCUAAGUUAUAGCUUUUCAUAGACAACUUGUUGACUAUGUUUAGUCUUGUAGCUUACUCGCUGACGCUAUUUUACCUACGCUUAGGAUGUUGACGCGCGUGUGUGCGUG
This 777-nucleotide ribosomal RNA is filed under the name uncultured Neocallimastigales. Its description in RNAcentral is "partial large subunit ribosomal RNA". It matches the Rfam family "Eukaryotic large subunit ribosomal RNA", at positions 26 to 639 of the family's 3401-position model. Lineage: Eukaryota; Fungi; Neocallimastigomycota; Neocallimastigomycetes; Neocallimastigales. The record is from RNAcentral.